UAAUUGUUUAAAAAUACUUUUAAGUCUUUAAAAAUUCUGAAUUUUUUUCUCCAAGGUCCUUUGACCUUAUUUGACCUAUGAUAAAUCUCAUGGCCAUUUCUUUGGUGUUUUGAUGAGGUUUUUUAAAAAUUCUGAAUUUUUUUCUCCAAGGUCCUUUGACCUUAUUUGACCUAUGAUAAAUCUCAUGGCCAUUUCUUUGGUGUUUUGAUG
Molecule: long non-coding RNA, 210 nt
Filed under: Lathyrus oleraceus (garden pea)
Lineage: Eukaryota; Viridiplantae; Streptophyta; Magnoliopsida; Fabales; Fabaceae
Description: Pisum sativum (pea) long non-coding RNA (PSAT_LNC027556)
Source: RNAcentral